Molecule: transfer RNA, 70 nt
Filed under: Camelus bactrianus (Bactrian camel)
Lineage: Eukaryota; Metazoa; Chordata; Mammalia; Artiodactyla; Camelidae
Also listed under: 2 other names
Rfam family: tRNA
About the family: Transfer RNA (tRNA) molecules are approximately 80 nucleotides in length. Their secondary structure includes four short double-helical elements and three loops (D, anti-codon, and T loops).
Source: Rfam by way of RNAcentral
GGGUAUAGUUCCAUGGUAGAAUAUGUGCUUAGUAUGCAUGAGGUCCUGGGUUCCAUUCCCAGUACCUCCA